RNAcentral lists this ribosomal RNA (428 nucleotides) under uncultured archaeon. RNAcentral describes it as "bacterial SSU rRNA". It matches the Rfam family "Archaeal small subunit ribosomal RNA", at positions 474 to 904 of the family's 1478-position model. The record is from RNAcentral.
CACCAGCCCCUCGAGUGGUGGGGAUGAUUAUUUGGCCUAAAGCGUCCGUAGCCGGCCGGGUAAGUUUCCCGUUAAAUCCAGCGUCUCAAGCGUUGGACUGCGGGAAAUACUGCCUGGCUAGAGAGUGGGAGAGGUCAGCGGUAUUCUGGGGGUAGGGCGAAAUCCUUUGAUCCCCGGAGGACCACCAGUGGCGAAGGCUGCUGACUAGAACACGUCUGACGGUCGGGGACGAAAGCUGGGGUAGCGAACCGGAUUAGAUACCCGGGUAGUCCCAGCCGUAAACGAUGCAUGCUAGGUGUUGGGUUGCCACGAGCCACCCCAGUGCCGCAGGGAAGCCGUUAAGCAUGCCGCCUGGGAAGUACGAUCGCAAGAUUGAAACUUAAAGGAUUAGGGCGGGGAGCACCACCAGGCGUGAAGCCUGUCGGUUU